GGGCCGUUAGCUCAGUUGGUUAGAGCAGAGGACUCAUAAUCCUUUGGUCCCAGGUUCAAGUCCUGGACGGCCUACCA
RNAcentral lists this transfer RNA (77 nucleotides) under Rhodoferax sp. RNAcentral describes it as "tRNA-Ile". It matches the Rfam family "tRNA". From Rfam's summary of the family: Transfer RNA (tRNA) molecules are approximately 80 nucleotides in length. The record is from RNAcentral. Lineage: Bacteria; Pseudomonadati; Pseudomonadota; Betaproteobacteria; Burkholderiales; Comamonadaceae.